CACCUUUUGACAUGUCUGGACCGCUGGAGAGAUCCAGCUUUCCCUUCGGGGACCAGAACACAGGUGCUGCGUGGCUGUCGUCAGCUCGUGUCGUGAGAUGUUGGGUUAAGUCCCGCAAUGAGCGCAACCCUCGCCAUUAGUUGCCAUCAUUAAGUUGGGCACUCUAGUGGGACUGCCGGAGCUAAUCCGGAGGAAGGCGGGGAUGACGUCAAGUCCUCAUGGCCCUUACGGGGUGGGCUACACACGUGCUACAAUGGCGACUACAGAGGGUUGCAAACCUGCGAAGGGGAGCUAAUCCCUAAAAGUCGUCUCAGUUAGGAUUGCACUCUGCAACUCGAGUGCAUGAAGUCGGAAUCGCUAGUAAUCGCGGAUCAGCAUGCCGCGGUGAAUACGUUCCC
RNAcentral lists this ribosomal RNA (398 nucleotides) under uncultured bacterium. RNAcentral's name for it is "bacterial SSU rRNA". It matches the Rfam family "Bacterial small subunit ribosomal RNA", at positions 975 to 1375 of the family's 1533-position model. The record is from RNAcentral.